CUCCGACCUCAGGGGACGAGCGCUUUUAUUAGACCAAAACCGGUCGGGCCCCCGCGCCCGCCUCCGGUGGUGACUCUGGAUAACUUUCGGCCGAUCGCACGGGCACGUCCCGGCGACGCAUCUUUCAAGUGUCUGCCUUAUCAACUUUCGAUGGUAGGUCACGCGCCUACCACGGUCGUAACGGGUGACGGGGAAUCAGGGUUCGAUUCCGGAGAGGGAGCCUGARAAACGGCUACCACAUCCAAGGAAGGCAGCAGGCGCGCAAAUUACCCACUCCCGGCACGGGGAGGUAGUGACGAAAAAUAACGAUACGGGACUCUUUCGAGACCCCGUAAUCGGAAUGAGCGCGCUCCAAACACCCCAACGAGGAUCCAUUGGAGUGCAAGCCUGGUGCCAGCAGACGCGGUAACUCCAGCUCCAAUAGCGUAUAUUAAAGUUGCUGCGGUUAAAAAGCUCGUAGUUGGAUCUCAGUUCCAGGCGCGCGGCCCGCCUACCGGCGGCCACCGCGCGUCCUGAACAGCCGGCCGGUUUCCCCCGAUGAUCUUCACCGGUUGUCUCGGGUGACCGGCGAGUUUACUUUGAAAAAAUUGGAGUGCUCAAAGCAGGCGCACACCGCCUGGAUAAUGGUGCAUGGAAUAGCGGAAUAGGGCCUCGGUUCUGUUUCGUCGGUUUUCGGAACACGAGGCAAUGAUUGACAGGGACAGCCGGGGGCACUCGUAUUGCGACGCUAGAGGUGAAAUUCUUGGACCGUCGCAGGACGAACCGCAGCGAAGGCAUUUGCCAAGAAUGUUUCCGUUAGUCAAGAACGAAAGUCAGAGGUGCGAAGGCGAUCAGAUACCGCCCUAGUUCUGACCGUAAACGAUGCCAGCCAGCGAUCCGGCUGCGUUCCUCAAAUGACGCGCCGGGCAGCUUCCGGGAAACCAAAGCCUUUGGGUUCCGGGGGAAGUAUGGUUGCAAAGCUGAAACUUGAAGGAAUUGACGGAAGGGCACCACCAGCAAUGGGGCGUGCGGCUCAAUUUGACUCAACACGGGGAAGCUCACCCGGUCCGGACGCAGGAAGGAUUGACAGAUUGAGAGCUCUUUCUUGAUUCUGUGGGUGGUGGUGCAUGGCCGUUYUUAGUUGGUGGAGCGAUUUGUCAGGUUAAUUCCGAUAACGAACGAGACUCUAGCCUGCUAAAUAGUCGUCCCGGUCGGUGUCGCCGGGCGAUYUUCUUAGAGGGACAGGCGGCGUCCAGCCGCACGAGACAGAGCACUAACAGGUYUGAGAUGCCCUUAGAUGUCCGGGGCCGCACGCGCGCCACAUUGAAGGGCCCAGCGUGUGCUCUCCCGGGCCGGCAGGUCCGGGCAACCCGCUGAACCCCCUUCGUGCUAGGGAUAGGAAAUUGAAAUUGUUUUCCUUGAACGAGGAAUUCCCAGUAAGCGCGAGUCAUCAGCUCGCGUUGAUUACGUCCCUGCCCUUUGUCCACACCGCCCGUCGCUACUAUCGAUUGAGCGGCUUAGUGAGGU
RNAcentral lists this ribosomal RNA (1506 nucleotides) under Agorius constrictus. RNAcentral describes it as "SSU rRNA". It matches the Rfam family "Eukaryotic small subunit ribosomal RNA", at positions 182 to 1727 of the family's 1831-position model. The record is from RNAcentral. Lineage: Eukaryota; Metazoa; Arthropoda; Arachnida; Araneae; Salticidae.